This 301-nucleotide ribosomal RNA is filed under the name uncultured bacterium. RNAcentral's name for it is "partial 16S ribosomal RNA". It matches the Rfam family "Bacterial small subunit ribosomal RNA", at positions 509 to 807 of the family's 1533-position model. The record is from RNAcentral.
CAGUCGCCGCGGGAAAACGUAGGUGGCAAGCGUUAUCCGGAAUUAUUGGGCGUAAAGCGCGCGUAGGCGGUUUUUUAAGUCUGAUGUGAAAGCCCACGGCUCAACCGUGGAGGGUCAUUGGAAACUGGAAAACUUGAGUGCAGAAGAGGAAAGUGGAAUUCCAUGUGUAGCGGUGAAAUGCGCAGAGAUAUGGAGGAACACCAGUGGCGAAGGCGACUUUCUGGUCUGUAACUGACGCUGAUGUGCGAAAGCGUGGGGAUCAAACAGGAUUAGAUACCCCGGUAGUCCCUGUCUCUUAUAC